CAUCCAUUCCAUUCCCAGUGCGGCAUUGACCAGCACAAAAAGGUUAUCGCCAUCCAUGAAACAGUAACAAUAACGAUGGAGCAAGGAGGAUUAGAUAUACGAAGAAGAGGUAGAAAGAGUGGGCGGUGGCGGAGGCGCCGCGGGUGGAGGUGGCGACGCGGGUGGUGCCAGUGAUGAUGACGAUGACGGUGACCGGAGUGAAGUAAUUCAAGCUAGCUCGCCCUCUUACUCCUCCUCCGUUAAUCAGCUGGAGAGAGGUGUAGGUGCACUUUUCGAUGGUUUUGCGAGGUUGAAUUCGCGUAUUUCAAGUGUUGGCCAGAGAGCUGCGAAGAUUGGGGAUCAUCUCCAGGAUUUACUUGCUAUACGAGUUGGAAGUUCUGCCUGUGAUUCACUGCCAUCACUUGAAGCAGAACUGGACUAUUUCUUCUUUUUUGUCUACGUUUUUUGUUCACUUUUUUUUGCUGUUUGUUGCAGUAGUAUGUUCGGAAGAAUGGCCAAUGUUUUUGUUGUUGCUCAAGAGGCUUGCAAAUUUGUUUGAGGGUACACUUAGCAUUCGCAAAGGUGUACAGAGUAAAUCCGACGAUAAUUUUAUGGUAAAUUUGAAAUGCGAGCCCUUUUCCCCUUCCCUUCUGCAAAUCCACUCUCUCCCUCUCCUCCAUUGAAGGUGGCCGCUGCGAACCUCCUCUGUUGCCGCCGCAACUGCUCCACUGUUGCUGCCGCAGUGUAGAACUUGGCCCCGUUGUUGUGGGAGUCUCAGAGCACAGCUCUGCCGCAUCUCCACCGACCGCCUCCGCUGUCCUGUCACCGUUGGAAGUCACCACUGUGCUGCCAUGGUCACCGCCGAGGACCACCACAUCUAGAGAUGAGCAGUUGCUCCAUUUGCUUUACUUUUAUUAAAUGUUUAUCUAAAUUUUUUUAUGAAAUAUGUAAUUAGGGUUAUGUUGUAUUGUUUGUUAGAUUAAUUUAGUGUAAUUAGGAAUUAAAUAAGGUUAGGUAAAUUUGUGAAUUAAGAUAAUUAUUUAGAUAAAUUAGCUUUUUCUAUUUAGGGUUUUAUUAAAAUUUUAUCAAAAUUUUUCAUUAAAUAAGGUUGGUUUAGUUUAAGGUUGAAGUUAGAAUAAUUUUGGGUUGAAUUUAGAUAAAGUAAGUUUUUAGGGUUUUGGGUUAAGGUUAAGCAGUAAAUUAUGUAGAUUUACAGUUUACAAUUUAUGGGAUUAGUUUAAGGUAAUUAUCUUCAUUUGAUUUUUAUUAGUAUUUUUAAAAAUGUUAUUAAUUUUUUAUUAUUAAUUUUUAUCGACUUUUUACUUAUUAGUUAUUACUAACUUCGUUUCUGUUUUAGGAUUUUCUUUGUUUCUGAACGUUAUCUAGCCUUAUUGUGGGUUGUUGGUGCUCCUUAUAUACAUGGGUUGUUCGUGCUCCUUAUAUACGUGGGUUGUUCGUACAGUAUCGAGGGUAUUGUGAGGCUCAAUCCCUGCUUCAAGAUUACGGAUGGAAAUAUUGUGGCCAACUUUAGAGGCAGUAACGUUGGCAUUGGAGGAGACAAAUUCACUGAGACCACCACAUUGCCUUUGACAUGAUCAAUAACUUGAAUUUUGAGAAAGAAACAUAGAGGCUGAAAGUCAGAGUUCUUGGAAUUCAGGGAGUGCCUAAUCCUACCAGCCAAAGCUAUGUGCUCAAUAUCUUGGUUGUUAAAUUCCUUAUUCUCCUUUGUAUUAUAUAAUGUACUUAAUGAUGCUUUCCUCAUGAAAUCUAUUGUUUCUCAGGUUCCAAGAUUCAGGCGGUUACUCUCAGACCUAUGUUAAACAGAUUCAGAGAUCAAUAAGCUAGGGGGGAAGUUUAUAAGAUGAUUUUAUUUUUUAAAGAAAGAUAGGGAUAUCCCAGCUCCCAAAAUGGAGAAGAACAAAAGAAGCGAAAAAUUUUUCACCAAGUUUGACGCAAGAAAAUCUAUCUCAGCUUGCUCGGCAAGGGUUGCAUGUCCAACGACACGCAGGUGGAAGAUAUCUAUGUAUUUCGUGCAAGUGAAAGCUUUGAUCUUUGGAUAUGAAGAGUGUUGGUUCAGAAGAAGAGAAGGCGAAAGAGAAACCAGUAGAGGGUAAGAACAAGAUGAAGCACAAAAUGAAGAGUGUUUCACAGUUGGAGCUUGGAAGUUCUGGACACAACUUAUGCGGGUUCAAGUUGGAGGAUAACCUUUGUACAAUGUUGACAUUAAAUUGGAUGAAGAUAUCCUUCAUUACACGUUGCUUAUAUUGAUGAUGUAGAGGAAACAAGCACAGAUAGAGACAAUAGACAAAAAAAAGGUCAAUAAAGUUUGUUGUCAUGUCUGUGUACUACAAUUUUCUUUAAAAUAGGCAUCUCCUUAAAAUGGGAUUCUGUCCAAAAUAAUUGUAUAUUAAAAAAUAUUA
This is a long non-coding RNA of Arachis duranensis, 2399 nucleotides long. RefSeq lists it as uncharacterized. The record is from RefSeq and is a predicted model, not a curated record. The transcript is spliced from 10 exons. NCBI's taxonomy places the organism in Eukaryota, Viridiplantae, Streptophyta, Magnoliopsida, Fabales, Fabaceae.